UAACAUCACCAAAAGCCAACAUUAAAGAGUGAUGCAAGUGCUGAACCUCAUCACGUGUCCCGGAACUUACAUUGAGAAUCAAUGACCUCCACAGCACAAAUGCGAACAUUGAAUAUGCAGGGGGGAAUACCAAGUUUAAAGAUAGCAUCCGCUGCAUUCUACAUAGGGACAGAGUUGACGCUUCACACCAACGGUACAUCCGCUGCAUUCUACAUAGGGAAAGAAUUGACGCUUCACCCAAAAGGUCUACAACAAAUCCAUCUGAAACUGUUCUACAGUUCCCUACAAGUACCCUAAACCAGUGGACAGAAACUUCAGCCAGAAUAUCUGCUUUUAGUGUCCCAAC
RNAcentral lists this long non-coding RNA (346 nucleotides) under Capsicum annuum. RNAcentral's name for it is "long non-coding RNA (CANN_LNC012938)". Lineage: Eukaryota; Viridiplantae; Streptophyta; Magnoliopsida; Solanales; Solanaceae. The record is from RNAcentral.